GUGGAGCUGUUGGUUUACAAUGUGCAAACAGGUUUCAUUGGUGGAGAUGUUGAUGGAUGCUACUGGAACGGUAGUGAAGUGCAUGGAUCUUGGUGCGAGCAUUUGUGUUAAUGGCGCGAUAGAAGCUCUCUAGUGAAUGCGUGGUGCAUUACCCACUUGCAAUCUCCGCUGAGUGUUAAUGUUAAAGUUGUCAGUGUCGGGUAUAGCUUCGAUCCGCAUUGUUGUUUGUGGCUGAAGGUGUCGCAGGCUAUGGCCAUUAGAGAAGAUUUGACGAUUUAUUUUUUGAGAUGAAAAUGAAGAUUGUAGGUGUUGUGACCAUGAGAAAAUGAAGAAAAUAAGGAACUUCGCGUUUUUUAAAAGAAAUGGAGAUGAAGAGAUGUUGGAUGCAAAAUUUGGACGAAAAU
RNAcentral lists this long non-coding RNA (404 nucleotides) under Vigna radiata. Its description in RNAcentral is "long non-coding RNA (VRAD_LNC009108)". Lineage: Eukaryota; Viridiplantae; Streptophyta; Magnoliopsida; Fabales; Fabaceae. The record is from RNAcentral.